AGCGAACGCUGGCGGCGCGCCUAACACAUGCAAGUCGAACGUGAAAAGGGAAACCUGAGUAAAGUGGCGUACGGGUGAGUAACGCGUAGGUAAUCUACCCCAGAAUCUGGAAUAACCUGCCGAAAGGCGGGCUAAUACUGGAUAGAGCGAGGGAACUCGUAAGAGAGUUUUUCGGGAAAGGGAGCCCGCAAGGGCCUUCGUUCUGGGAUGAGCCUGCGUAUCAUUAGCUAGUUGGUAAGGUAACGGCUUACCAAGGCGAUGAUGAGUAGCUGGUCUGAGAGGAGGAUCAGCCACACUGGAACUGAAACACGGUCCAGACUCCUGCGGGAGGGAGCAGGGGGGAAUCUUGCGCAAAGGACGAAAGGCUGACGCAGCCACGCCGGGUGAGUGAAGGAUGCCGUCGGGUUGUAAAGGUCUGUCGGAUGGGACGAACAUCUUCAUAGUGAAUAGCUAUGAGGACUGACGGUACCAGCAAAGGAAGCACCGGCUAACUCCGUG
This 498-nucleotide ribosomal RNA is filed under the name uncultured bacterium. RNAcentral's name for it is "partial 16S ribosomal RNA". It matches the Rfam family "Bacterial small subunit ribosomal RNA", at positions 29 to 507 of the family's 1533-position model. The record is from RNAcentral.